This 405-nucleotide ribosomal RNA is filed under the name uncultured bacterium. RNAcentral describes it as "partial 16S ribosomal RNA". It matches the Rfam family "Bacterial small subunit ribosomal RNA", at positions 30 to 525 of the family's 1533-position model. The record is from RNAcentral.
AUUGAACGCUGGCGGCAGGCCUAACACAUGCAAGUCGAACGAGUGGCGGACGGGUGAGUAAUGUCUGGGAAACUGCCUGAUUGAUUGGGAUUACUACUGGAAACGGUAGCUAAUACCGCAUACCAUCAGAUGUGCCACGCUGGGUUUAGCUUGUUGGUGGGGUAACGGAUCACCAAGGCGACGAUCCCUCGCUGGUCUGACAGGAGGACCAGCCACACUGGAACUGUGACACGUUCCAGACUCCUACGGGAGGCAGCAGUGGGGAAUAUUGCACAAUGGGCGCAAGCCUGAUGCAGCCAUGCCGGGUGUAUGAAGAAGGCCUUCGGGUUGUAAAGUACUUUCAGCGGGGAGGCGUUACCCGCAGAAGAAGCACCGGCUAACGCCGUGCCAGCAGCCGCGGUAAAC